GCGGAUGUGGCGGAAUAGGCAGACGCGUGCGUUUCAGGUGCGCAUGCCGCAAGGCGUAUGGGUUCAAGUCCCUUCAUCCGCA
This 82-nucleotide transfer RNA is filed under the name Peptococcaceae bacterium. RNAcentral's name for it is "tRNA-Leu". It matches the Rfam family "tRNA". From Rfam's summary of the family: Transfer RNA (tRNA) molecules are approximately 80 nucleotides in length. Lineage: Bacteria; Bacillati; Bacillota; Clostridia; Eubacteriales; Peptococcaceae. The record is from RNAcentral.